GGGGAAUAUUGGGCAAUGGACGAAAGUCUGACCCAGAAACGCCUCGUGAAAGAAGAACGCUUUCGGGUUGAAAACUUCUUUUAAGGGGGAAGAGCAGAAGACGGUACCCCUUGAAUAAGCCACGGCUAACUACGUGCCAGCAGCCGCGGUAAUACGUAGGUGGCAAGCGUUGUCCGGAUUUACUGGGUGUAAAGGGCGUGCAGCCGGGAAGGCAAGUCAGAUGUGAAAUCUGGAGGCUCAACCUCCAAACUGCAUUUGAAACUGCUUUUCUUGACUAUCGGAGAGGUAAUCGGAAUUCCUUGUGUAGCGGUGAAAUGCGUAGAUAUAAGGAAGAACACCAGUGUCGAAGGCGGAUUACUGGACGACAACUGACGGUGAGGCGCGAAAGCGUGGGGCGCAAACA
Molecule: ribosomal RNA, 403 nt
Filed under: uncultured Oscillibacter sp.
Lineage: Bacteria; Bacillati; Bacillota; Clostridia; Eubacteriales; Oscillospiraceae
Description: bacterial SSU rRNA
Rfam family: Bacterial small subunit ribosomal RNA
Source: RNAcentral